CUGAGGCCAGCAGUUAGGGCACAGCCUGGACAACACAGAAGAUUUUAUCUCAAAACAAAAAUCAAAACCCAAAUGAGCAAUAGCAUCAGACUAUCAUUAAAAGGAUACAAUAAAACGGUGUGGGUUUUGUUUGUUUGUUUGUUUGGGGAUGUUAUGAAGCCCAAGCUGGCCUCAACCUUUGUUCUUUCUGCCUUCACCUCCCAAGUGCUGGGAUUACAGACGCGCUCAUGUUGACUCAUGGCUGGAGUUUCCUCUUUCUUUCUUUCUUUCUUUCUUUCUUUCUUUCUUUCUUUCUUUCUUUCUUUUUUUUUUUUUUUGACACAGAAUCUUAUGUAGCCCAGGAUAGCCUAGAACAUUUGUGUGUGUGUGUGUGUGAUUUAGUGUGGAGGAUGACCGUGAAUUCCCCCCUCACCUAAUGCUAUGAUUUCAGGCACCACCUACCAUCACACCUGUUUUGUUUUAUUUUUUAAUGUGGUGCUGGAGACUCAAACCUAGGGCUUCAUUCACACCAAGCAAGUACUCUACCAACUGAGCCACACCCCACCCAGCUCAGCGGCUUGAUUACAUAUCCUAGGGUUGGUCAAAGAUGAUUGCUCUGGGCUAUGAUUCAGACAUGCUCUCAGAGACCUCACCAGCUCCUGAUGUCAUCCCUGAAAAUGGGUCCUGAUGUGGCCUUUGUAUGAGAGACUAGGCAAGAAGCAGGACAUCUCUUGCCACCAUAGAGCUAGAAGGUCCAUAUCAACCCAACCCAGCCUAAUCAUACCAAGACUUGAAGGACUGACACAAUGGUGGAGAUAUCCGGACAGACGCCUUCAGUUCUCCGUCAAAACCCAAAGGACCUAUUUCCUCCGUGGCUGCUGGCAGGCUGUCAGACCGCACGAGGAUUACCUCCGUGGAAAAGAAUUCGAUCCCCUAAGGACAAGCCCGGCUACUGGAGAAGUCUGAAUCCGGACGCUGGCUGCUGUAAGACAUCAGACACGAUACUUACUUAGUUCAUCCGAGUUUCAGAUAGACGAUGAUACAAGUGUGCGGUAAAGCCGGGGUCACCUGCUAAAAGUUACUCACUGUUUAAAUAAAGCUCAG
RNAcentral lists this long non-coding RNA (1083 nucleotides) under Cricetulus griseus (Chinese hamster). RNAcentral's name for it is "lncRNA (ENSCGRG00000026290.1)". Lineage: Eukaryota; Metazoa; Chordata; Mammalia; Rodentia; Cricetidae. The record is from RNAcentral.